This 253-nucleotide ribosomal RNA is filed under the name uncultured bacterium. Its description in RNAcentral is "partial 16S ribosomal RNA". It matches the Rfam family "Bacterial small subunit ribosomal RNA", at positions 524 to 776 of the family's 1533-position model. The record is from RNAcentral.
UACAGAGGGUGCAAGCGUUGUUCGGAAUUAUUGGGCGUAAAGGGCGCGUAGGCGGUGCGGUAAGUCUGUAGUGAAAUCUCUGGGCUCAACUCAGAGUCUGCUAUAGAAACUGCCGUGCUUGAGUGUGGGAGAGGUGAGUGGAAUUCCCGGUGUAGCGGUGAAAUGCGUAGAUAUCAGGAGGAACGCCAAUGGCGAAGGCAAGUCUCUGGACAGUUCCUGACGCUCAUGCACGAAGGCCAGGGGAGCAAACGGG